ACAUUUAUUAGGGUUUGUUGCACACAAAGUAUACAUAUACACUUAGUUUGGUAUUAAGAUCCAUCUGACGUACAUUAUUAGAUGAAAUUUGAGAUAAAAAUAUAUAAAGAUAUACUUUUGUGUUCUCCGGUGGAAUCGCAGAAAAUAUAUUAAUUAGGUUAUAGGGACACAUGUUUGGGACACUUUUAAGUAAGUGUCCCAUUUAUACUAAAACUUAAAAAAAUAUCUACUAAUGCUUAAAUAUAAAGCACAAUCCAACCAAAAAUAAAAUAUUAUUCUACUCAACCCACUACACCCAGUCCAUUUAGCCCGAUUACAAACAGAAAAGAAAAAAAAAAAGAAAAAUCAAUUACCAUAUUUUCUUCUCUCUUCACUCAAUUCACUAAAAUUCUAGACAAAGAGUUUUUUCUGUCGUCCUCCUCCGCCACCGCAGCCAACAAGAUAGAGUUUCGGCAGUUGCUAAAUGCUUAAAUAAGUAUUGGUAAAUUAGCAGCACUCUUUUAGGUUAUAACGACACUCUUUAACUGUCACUAUAUACCUAGCGACCCCACAUAUAGCAACACUUUUUAAAAGUGUCGGUAAUUUUAGCUAGCAGCACUUUUUUGACAUGUACCUACAUUUAAAAGUGUCGCUAUAGACCGUUUUUGUUGUAGUGAUUAUUACGGACACAUCGCGAUAUACAGAACGCAAAAUUACAUACGAAAAUAAAUAGAACACUUUUUUAUCGUAUUUUUUCACCAUACGUAAUCUCAAAUGAAGCCAAAGUGUGAUGCAUGUAUGUAUAUAGCAUACAUAGCACGCAUGUAUAGAGUUCGAUUACUAUACUAUUGAUAGUACCAAGCCUUUGAUACUAUUGAGUUUUCUACCGUUAGAUUUAUCCUUUGAUCAUUUCCACCCGUUAGAUUAUACUAUUAAUUAAACCAACCAUCCACUCAACCCUAGGGGAUCAUUAUUAAUUUAACCGGCGAUCACUAUCAUCCUAACCGCACAUCCUUUCAACCAACAGCCGAAAACUCAAUAGUACCAAGGGUUUGGUACUAUAGUAUAGUAACCUAAUUCUGCAUAUAUAUA
RNAcentral lists this long non-coding RNA (1071 nucleotides) under Ananas comosus (pineapple). Its description in RNAcentral is "long non-coding RNA (ACOM_LNC005422)". The record is from RNAcentral. Lineage: Eukaryota; Viridiplantae; Streptophyta; Magnoliopsida; Poales; Bromeliaceae.